GUCUCGGUAGUCUAAUGGGAUGGCGUUCCUGGCUUACUCAUAAAUUAGUGAAUUGAGGGAAUAAUCUGGGUUCGAAUCCUCGCUGGGACA
Gregarina niphandrodes is the source of this 90-nucleotide transfer RNA. It matches the Rfam family "tRNA". Rfam says of the family: Transfer RNA (tRNA) molecules are approximately 80 nucleotides in length. Their secondary structure includes four short double-helical elements and three loops (D, anti-codon, and T loops). Lineage: Eukaryota; Apicomplexa; Conoidasida; Eugregarinorida; Gregarinidae. The record is from Rfam.